This 253-nucleotide ribosomal RNA is filed under the name uncultured bacterium. RNAcentral's name for it is "partial 16S ribosomal RNA". It matches the Rfam family "Bacterial small subunit ribosomal RNA", at positions 524 to 776 of the family's 1533-position model. The record is from RNAcentral.
UACGUAGGGGGCAAGCGUUAUCCGGAUUUACUGGGUGUAAAGGGGGCGCAGACGGCAGCGCAAGCCAGGAGUGAAAGCCCGGGGCCCAACCCCGGGACUGCUCUUGGAACUGCGCGGCUGGAGUGCAGGAGGGGCAGGCGGAAUUCCUGGUGUGGCGGUGAAAUGCGUAGAUAUCAGGAGGAACACCGGUGGCGAAGGCGGCCUGCUGGACUGCGACUGACGUUGAGGCCCGAAAGCGUGGGGAGCAAACAGG